AUGGCGGCCUCGCAGUCGCGGUGGUAGUUCUGACGCACUUGGGACUCCAUUUUUCGCUGGCGUUUCUUGAGUUUUUCUUAACAAAACGGUAUAAAAAUAAAGCUUUACGUCGACUUUUCCAGUAGUGUUGAAGUAGUAAAGGUUAUUUGUGUCUCGAAUGCAGACUAGUUAAAG
This is a long non-coding RNA of Etheostoma spectabile (orangethroat darter), 174 nucleotides long. RefSeq lists it as uncharacterized. The transcript is spliced from 2 exons. The record is from RefSeq and is a predicted model, not a curated record. Lineage: Eukaryota; Metazoa; Chordata; Actinopteri; Perciformes; Percidae.